AGUGAACGCUGGCGGUAGGCCUAACACAUGCAAGUCGAACGGCAGCACAGUAAGAGCUUGCUCUUACGGGUGGCGAGUGGCGGACGGGUGAGGAAUACAUCGGAAUCUACUUUUUCGUGGGGGAUAACGUAGGGAAACUUACGCUAAUACCGCAUACGACCUACGGGUGAAAGCAGGGGAUCCUCGGACCUUGCGCGAUUGAAUGAGCCGAUGUCGGAUUAGCUAGUUGGCGGGGUAAAGGCCCACCAAGGCGACGAUCCGUAGCUGGUCUGAGAGGAUGAUCAGCCACACUGGAACUGAGACACGGUCCAGACUCCUACGGGAGGCAGCAGUGGGGAAUAUUGGACGAUGGGCGCAAGCCUGAUCCAGCCAUACCGCGUGGGUGAAGAAGGCCUUCGGGUUGUAAAGCCCUUUUGUUGGGAAAGAAAAGCAGCAGGUUAAUACCCCGCUGUUCUGACGGUACCCAAAGAAUAAGCACCGGCUAACUUCGUG
RNAcentral lists this ribosomal RNA (492 nucleotides) under uncultured bacterium. RNAcentral's name for it is "partial 16S ribosomal RNA". It matches the Rfam family "Bacterial small subunit ribosomal RNA", at positions 29 to 507 of the family's 1533-position model. The record is from RNAcentral.